GAUGAACGCUGGCGGCGUGCCUAAUACAUGCAAGUCGAGCGAACAGACGAGGAGCUUGCUCCUCUGACGUUAGCGGCGGACGGGUGAGUAACACGUGGAUAACCUACCUAUAAGACUGGGAUAACUUCGGGAAACCGGAGCUAAUACCGGAUAAUAUAUUGAACCGCAUGGUUCAAUAGUGAAAGACGGUUUUGCUGUCACUUAUAGAUGGAUCCGCGCCGCAUUAGCUAGUUGGUAAGGUAACGGCUUACCAAGGCAACGAUGCGUAGCCGACCUGAGAGGGUGGUCGGCCACACUGGAACUGAGACACGGUCCAGACUCCUACGGGAGGCAGCAGUAGGGAAUCUUCCGCAAUGGGCGAAAGCCUGACGGAGCAACGCCGCGUGAGUGAUGAAGGUCUUCGGAUCGUAAAACUCUGUUAUUAGGGAAGAACAAAUGUGUAAGUAACUAUGCACGUCUUGACGGUACCUAAUCAGAAAGCCACGGCCAACUACGUG
RNAcentral lists this ribosomal RNA (497 nucleotides) under uncultured bacterium. Its description in RNAcentral is "partial 16S ribosomal RNA". It matches the Rfam family "Bacterial small subunit ribosomal RNA", at positions 28 to 507 of the family's 1533-position model. The record is from RNAcentral.